AAUGAACGUUGGCGGCGUGGAUUAGGCAUGCAAGUCGAGCGAGAAGCCUCCUUCGGGGGGCGGAAAGCGGCGAAAGGGAGAGUAACGUGUGGAUGAUCUACCCUCGGGUUCGGGAUAGCUGCGGGAAACUGCAGGUAAUACCGAAUAACAUCUCCGGAUCAAAGGUGUGAUUCCGCCUGAGGAUGAGUCCACAUCCUAUUAGCUUGUUGGUGGGGUAAUGGCCUACCAAGGCAACGAUGGGUACCGGGUGUGAGAGCAUGACCCGGCUCACUGGGACUGAGACACUGCCCAGACACCUACGGGUGGCUG
RNAcentral lists this ribosomal RNA (309 nucleotides) under uncultured Planctomycetota bacterium. RNAcentral's name for it is "bacterial SSU rRNA". It matches the Rfam family "Bacterial small subunit ribosomal RNA", at positions 29 to 351 of the family's 1533-position model. The record is from RNAcentral. Lineage: Bacteria; Pseudomonadati; Planctomycetota.